This is a long non-coding RNA of Malaya genurostris, 505 nucleotides long. RefSeq lists it as uncharacterized. NCBI's taxonomy places the organism in Eukaryota, Metazoa, Arthropoda, Insecta, Diptera, Culicidae. The record is from RefSeq and is a predicted model, not a curated record. The transcript is spliced from 3 exons.
CCUCUACCUGGUUGGCAAGUUCGGCAGGUUGUUUGCGCGAAUGCGGCUCUAGUGGUCCAUACUGAGGUAGAUCAGUCUGUAACUCUCACAGCCGCGAUAACUCGGUACAGCAGACCCUGUCAGCUUGGAACGAAAUCAAUCUUCAGUUCAGCAACGCCAUCGCACGGCAUCACAUUCAACAUAUCAUGUCAAUUGUAUGGGUGCGCAGUGCUGCUAUUUUCGCGCGCACGUGUUUGACAUUUCUCUUCCCUACUUCUAUGUACGAGAUUCGAUGCGGGCACGCCUGAGGGCGCCAUACUCACAAAAAAGGAUGUGGCCAAUCAUUUGUUCGGGAAUUGUGAGAGCUGGAUAUCUUGUUAAUGUGGUGUCUUUGAAUUCUAAAGAUAUAAGGCGAAACACACGAGAGUAAUAAAUAACAGGGUUGUGUAGAGGACAAGACCAAUAUUAAAAUCCAUUCAUAAAUUUAUUCAAAUUAGAAAAAUCCAUAACAUAUCUUCAAUAUGAC